This 465-nucleotide ribosomal RNA is filed under the name uncultured bacterium. RNAcentral's name for it is "partial 16S ribosomal RNA". It matches the Rfam family "Bacterial small subunit ribosomal RNA", at positions 28 to 507 of the family's 1533-position model. The record is from RNAcentral.
GACGAACGCUGGCGGCGUGCUUAACACAUGCAAGUCGUACGGUAAGGCCCUUUCGGGGGUACACGAGUGGCGAACGGGUGAGUAACACGUGAGUAACCUGCCCACAACUUUGGGAUAACGCUAGGAAACUGGUGCUAAUACUGGAUAUGUGCUCCUGCUGCAUGGUGGGGGUUGGAAAGCUCCGGCGGUUGUGGAUGGACUCGCGGCCUAUCAGCUUGUUGGUGGGGUAGUGGCCUACCAAGGCGGCGACGGGUAGCCGGCCUGAGAGGGUGACCGGCCACAUUGGGACUGAGAUACGGCCCAGACUCCUACGGGAGGCAGCAGUGGGGAAUAUUGCACAAUGGGCGCAAGCCUGAUGCAGCAACGCCGCGGGCGGGAGGACGGCCUUCGGGUUGGAAACCGCUUUCAGCAGGGACGAAGCUUUUUGUGACGGUACCUGCAGAAGAAGCACCGGCUAACUACGUG